GGCAGGGGAGAUACCAUGAUCAGCAAGGUGGUUUUCCCAGCGUGAGGUUCAUCCAUUGCACUGCGGGUGUGCUGACCUCUGUGAUUUCCCCAAAUGUGGGAAACUCAACUGCAGAAUUUGUGGUAGUGGGGGACUGCGUUCGCGCUUUCCCCUG
This 154-nucleotide small nuclear RNA is filed under the name Chelydra serpentina (North American snapping turtle). RNAcentral's name for it is "U1 spliceosomal RNA (ENSCSRG00000012576.1)". It matches the Rfam family "U1 spliceosomal RNA". From Rfam's summary of the family: U1 is a small nuclear RNA (snRNA) component of the spliceosome (involved in pre-mRNA splicing). The record is from Rfam by way of RNAcentral. Lineage: Eukaryota; Metazoa; Chordata; Testudines; Chelydridae.